UUGACCUCGAAUCAGGUAGGAAUACCCGCUGAACUUAAGCAUAUCAAAAGCCGGAGGAA
This 59-nucleotide ribosomal RNA is filed under the name Fusarium sp. G9-14. RNAcentral's name for it is "partial 28S ribosomal RNA". Lineage: Eukaryota; Fungi; Ascomycota; Sordariomycetes; Hypocreales; Nectriaceae. The record is from RNAcentral.